Molecule: microRNA precursor, 80 nt
Filed under: Pelobates cultripes (western spadefoot toad)
Lineage: Eukaryota; Metazoa; Chordata; Amphibia; Anura; Pelobatidae
Source: RNAcentral
UGUAUAUGUGUGUGUGUGUGUGUGUGUGUGUAUAUAUAUAUAUAUACAUACACACACACACACACACACACACAUACACU